This 549-nucleotide ribosomal RNA is filed under the name uncultured Glomus. RNAcentral describes it as "SSU rRNA". It matches the Rfam family "Eukaryotic small subunit ribosomal RNA", at positions 548 to 1098 of the family's 1831-position model. Lineage: Eukaryota; Fungi; Glomeromycota; Glomeromycetes; Glomerales; Glomeraceae. The record is from RNAcentral.
UUGGAGGGCAAGUCUGGUGCCAGCAGCCGCGGUAAUUCCAGCUCCAAUAGCGUAUAUUAAAGUUGUUGCAGUUAAAAAGCUCGUAGUUGAAUUUCGGGGUCAGUAGGUUGGUCGUGCCACCGGUACGUACUGGUCUCACUGAUUCCUCCUUCCUGAUGAGCUGUAAUGCCAUUAAUUUGGUGUUGCAGGGAAUCUGGACUGUUACUUUGAAAAAAUUAGAGUGUUUAAAGCAGGCUAACGCUUGAAUACAUUAGCAUGGAAUAAUGAAAUAGGACGUUCGAUCCUAUUUUGUUGGUUUCUAGGAUUGACGUAAUGAUUAAUAGGGAUAGUUGGGGGCAUUAGUAUUCAAUUGUCAGAGGUGAAAUUCUUGGAUUUAUUGAAGACUAACUACUGCGAAAGCAUUUGCCAAGGAUGUUUUCAUUAAUCAAGAACGAAAGUUAGGGGAUCGAAGACGAUCAGAUACCAUCGUAGUCUUAACCAUAAACUAUGCCGACUAGGGAUCGGAUGAUGUUAAUUUUUUAAUGACUCAUUCGGCGCCUUACGGGAAAC